This 458-nucleotide ribosomal RNA is filed under the name uncultured bacterium. RNAcentral describes it as "bacterial SSU rRNA". It matches the Rfam family "Bacterial small subunit ribosomal RNA", at positions 29 to 527 of the family's 1533-position model. The record is from RNAcentral.
AACGAACGCUGGCGGCAUGCCUAACACAUGCAAGUCGAACGAAGGCUUCGGCCUUAGUGGCGCACGGGUGCGUAACGCGUGGGAACCUGCCCCUCGGUUCGGAAUAACAGUUAGAAAUGACUGCUAAUACCGGAUGAUGACUUCGGUCCAAAGAUUUAUCGCCGAGGGAUGGGCCCGCGUAGGAUUAGCUAGUUGGUGGGGUAAAGGCCUACCAAGGCGACGAUCCUUAGCUGGUCUGAGAGGAUGAUCAGCCACACUGGGACUGAGACACGGCCCAGACUCCUACGGGAGGCAGCAGUGGGGAAUAUUGGACAAUGGGCGAAAGCCUGAUCCAGCAAUGCCGCGUGAGUGAUGAAGGCCUUAGGGUUGUAAAGCUCUUUUACCUAGGGAUGAUAAUGACAGUACCUGGAGAAUAAGACUCCGGCUAACUCCGUGCCAGCAGCCGCGGUAAUGUAUCG